AAACCAUGAUUUUUUUUUCAUAAGGACCCUUUGUAACUUUAUUCAUAUAUCAAUGAUUUUAUUUCCCUCAGCUCUCGUUCCUAUUGUAGAAAAAGUGUUUAUUCUUUUCUUUUUCUUUUUGUCAAAAAAAAAACCGUUCCUAGCUAUGUACAACCCAUUACAAGAGGUUAUCACAUGCAUUUGCAUUCGCACGCACUAAAUGUAAAAAAAAAAAUAUAUUUUAUAGCCUAAUAUUUUUGUUUAAACUAUUUAGGUAUAUGUAUAAACUUUGUUUCAACUAAGAAAUUAACAUUAAUAGUAAAUUUUGGUAAGUUUAGCAUCUUAUUUUUGUG
Molecule: long non-coding RNA, 332 nt
Filed under: Capsella rubella
Lineage: Eukaryota; Viridiplantae; Streptophyta; Magnoliopsida; Brassicales; Brassicaceae
Description: long non-coding RNA (CRUB_LNC000756)
Source: RNAcentral